Molecule: long non-coding RNA, 719 nt
Organism: Monodelphis domestica (gray short-tailed opossum)
Lineage: Eukaryota; Metazoa; Chordata; Mammalia; Didelphimorphia; Didelphidae
Source: RefSeq, a predicted model, not a curated record
CAAUGUUCUAUGCCCAGAUGACUCUUUGAAACUCAACGCCACCCUCUUUUCCCAGCCUGCUUCCCUGACUUUUGGGUGAAGGGAGAUGAUAGCUAUAAAGAACUCUUAAAAUGGCAAAAUGCUUUCUUUAAAUCUGACGAGGGAAAGCCUAAUUUAUGAGACCAGCAGAGUCGGGAGUUUGUCAAAGCUCAUAGCCAAGAAAGCUUCUAGGGAGAGAAAGUCUUUCAUGAAUGCUGAUGAUGAUUCUGAGCAGAAGACCACGAGGAAAUGGUGCACACUCCACUUCAGGCUUGGAGCAAGGGAUGAUCUUUGGGACCAAUAGGAGGAAGUUCUCCAUGACUAGGAAAAAGUGCCAGCCUCUGUCACAAGGCUCUUGGGCUUUGGCCUUUUCCUCCACUCUCCUGCUUUGGAAGGAAUCCUGUCUUCUUCUACACUCAUCUUCAUUCAGCACAUAUGGACAGAUGGUUCAAGAGAAAAACUGUAUUAUCUCGUCAGGAGAAGAAUUGGCCCAGGUUAUAUGUCAUGCAAUCGCAGAACCUCAGAGUUGGAAAGAUCCUCUAGGGCCAUUAGAAAUUGGGACUCCACCCCUGGGAUCCCUGAAGGAGGUGCUGGUGUUUAAUAACAGGUCUGGAGCUGAGAGAGGAUAUAUGCACACCCUUUUAUGUCUAAUUUGAAUUAUUAGCACAUUCUAAGUCUAGACAAAUAAAAUGUGGCCCAGA